GACGAACGCUGGCGGCGUGCUUAACACAUGCAAGUCGAACGGAAAGGCCCUGCUUUUGUGGGGUGCUCGAGUGGCGAACGGGUGAGUAACACGUGAGUAACCUGCCCUUGACUUUGGGAUAACUUCAGGAAACUGGGGCUAAUACCGGAUAGGAGCUCCUGCUGCAUGGUGGGGGUUGGAAAGUUUCGGCGGUUGGGGAUGGACUCGCGGCUUAUCAGCUUGUUGGUGGGGUAGUGGCUUACCAAGGCUUUGACGGGUAGCCGGCCUGAGAGGGUGACCGGCCACAUUGGGACUGAGAUACGGCCCAGACUCCUACGGGAGGCAGCAGUGGGGAAUAUUGCACAAUGGGCGGAAGCCUGAUGCAGCAACGCCGCGUGCGGGAUGACGGCCUUCGGGUUGUAAACCGCUUUCGCCUGUGACGAAGCGUGAGUGACGGUAAUGGGUAAAGAAGCACCGGCUAACUACGUGCCAGCAGCCGCGGUGAUACGUAGGGUGCGAGCGUUGUCCGGAUUUAUUGGGCGUAAAGGGCUCGUAGGUGGUUGAUCGCGUCGGAAGUGUAAUCUUGGGGCUUAACCCUGAGCGUGCUUUCGAUACGGGUUGACUUGAGGAAGGUAGGGGAGAAUGGAAUUCCUGGUGGAGCGGUGGAAUGCGCAGAUAUCAGGAGGAACACCAGUGGCGAAGGCGGUUCUCUGGGCCUUUCCUGACGCUGAGGAGCGAAAGCGUGGGGAGCGAACAGGCUUAGAUACCCUGGUAGUCCACGCUGUAAACGGUGGGUACUAGGUGUGGGGUCCAUUCCACGGGUUCCGUGCCGUAGCUAACGCUUUAAGUACCCCGCCUGGGAAGUACGGCCGCAAGGCUAAAACUCAAAGGAAUUGACGGGGCCCCGCACAAGCGGCGGAGCAUGCGGAUUAAUUCGAUGCAACGCGUAGAACCUUACUUGGGUUUGACAUGGAUCGGGAGUGCUCAGAGAUGGGUGUGCCUCUUUUGGGGUCGGUUCACAGGUGGUGCAUGGCUGUCGUCAGCUCGUGUCGUGAGAUGUUGGGUUAAGUCCCGCAACGAGCGCAACCCUUGUUCACUGUUGCCAGCACGUUAUGGUGGGGACUCAGUGGAGACCGCCGGGGUCAACUCGGAGGAAGGUGGGGAUGACGUCAAGUCAUCAUGCCCCUUAUGUCCAGGGCUUCACGCAUGCUACAAUGGCUGGUACAGAGAGUGGCGAGCCUGUGAGGGUGAGCGAAUCUCGGAAAGCCGGUCUCAGUUCGGAUUGGGGUCUGCAACUCGACCUCAUGAAGUCGGAGUCGCUAGUAAUCGCAGAUCAGCAACGCUGCGGUGAAUACGUUCCCGGG
This 1343-nucleotide ribosomal RNA is filed under the name uncultured bacterium. Its description in RNAcentral is "16S ribosomal RNA". It matches the Rfam family "Bacterial small subunit ribosomal RNA", at positions 28 to 1378 of the family's 1533-position model. The record is from RNAcentral.